AUGAGCUGACUGAAGCACAUUCCACGCCCAAACAUGAAGGUGUGCGUCUUCGGAGACCAGCACCAUCUUGACGAGGCUGCCGCCGGAGACAUUCCAUCGAUGAGCGCCGAUGACUUGAAGAAGCUUAACAAGCAGAAGAAGCUCAUCAAGAAGCUCGCCAAGAGCUACGAUGCUUUCAUCGCUUCCGAAUCCUUGAUCAAGCAGAUCCCACGUAUCCUCGGUCCAGGACUCAACAAGGCCGGAAAAUUCCCUUCCGUCGUUACCCACGGAGAAUCUCUCCAAAGCAAGAGUGACGAGAUCCGCGCCACCGUCAAGUUCCAGAUGAAGAAGGUUCUCUGCCUCUCCGUCGCCGUCGGUCACGUUGGACUCACCCAGGAGGAGCUUGUCUCCAACAUCUCCCUCUCCAUCAACUUCCUCGUCUCGCUCUUGAAGAAGAACUGGCAGAACGUGAGAUCGUUGAACAUCAAGUCCACCAUGGGAAAGCCACAAAGAGUUUAUUAA
This 501-nucleotide unclassified non-coding RNA is filed under the name Caenorhabditis elegans. RNAcentral describes it as "Non-coding transcript of protein-coding gene rpl-10a". The record is from RNAcentral. Lineage: Eukaryota; Metazoa; Nematoda; Chromadorea; Rhabditida; Rhabditidae.